CCCUUAGAUGUUCUGGGCCGCACGCGCGCUACACUGAUGCAUUCAACGAGUCUAAAACCUGGUCUGAUAGGGCUGGGUAAUCUUUUGAAUGUGCAUCGUGAUUGGGAUAGAUGAUUGCAAUUCUUCAUCUUCAACGAGGAAUGCCUAGUAAACGCAAGUCAUCAGCUUGCAUUGAUUACGUCCCUGCCCUUUGUACACACCGCCCGUCGCUGCCCGGAACUGAGCCGUUUCGAGAAGACUGAGGAUUGCUGACUUGAGGCCUUCACGGGCUUCUAGUCGGUGAAAAUCAAUUUAAUCGCAGCGGCUUGAACCGGGCAAAAGUCGUAACA
This 329-nucleotide ribosomal RNA is filed under the name uncultured eukaryote. RNAcentral's name for it is "partial 18S ribosomal RNA". It matches the Rfam family "Eukaryotic small subunit ribosomal RNA", at positions 1470 to 1796 of the family's 1831-position model. The record is from RNAcentral.